CAUUCACGGAGAGUUUGAUCCUGGCUCAGGACGAACGCUGGCGGCGUGCUUAACACAUGCAAGUCGAACGAUGAACCGCUUUCGGGCGGGGAUUAGUGGCGAACGGGUGAGUAACACGUGGGCAAUCUGCCCUUCACUCUGGGACAAGCCCUGGAAACGGGGUCUAAUACCGGAUAAUACUGCGGUCCUCCUGGACUGUGGUUGAAAGCUCCGGCGGUGAAGGAUGAGCCCGCGGCCUAUCAGCUUGUUGGUGAGGUAAUGGCUCACCAAGGCGACGACGGGUAGCCGGCCUGAGAGGGC
This 300-nucleotide ribosomal RNA is filed under the name Streptomyces sp. SID5785. RNAcentral describes it as "partial 16S ribosomal RNA". It matches the Rfam family "Bacterial small subunit ribosomal RNA", at positions 1 to 301 of the family's 1533-position model. Lineage: Bacteria; Bacillati; Actinomycetota; Actinomycetes; Kitasatosporales; Streptomycetaceae. The record is from RNAcentral.